RNAcentral lists this unclassified non-coding RNA (460 nucleotides) under Heliconia juliani. RNAcentral describes it as "partial external transcribed spacer". Lineage: Eukaryota; Viridiplantae; Streptophyta; Magnoliopsida; Zingiberales; Heliconiaceae. The record is from RNAcentral.
CAUCGUCGGUCGGCUUGUUUGACCCUCCUAUCUCGUGGGUGGGCGACUGGCCCCUAGAUGGAAUGACCGUGUCGGCACGUGAGCGGUGAUGGAUUCGCAUGCCACGGCGGGCUCCCUGCCACUGUGCANCCAACCGCCGUCGCUGCAGCCCCCUUCACUCGUGCUCCAACCACUCGGGGCCUCAUGCGUUGCCUGUACAACAUACCCGGUUCUCGGGCAAAUGACUUCGUCCAACAUGCUCGUCCGCUCCNCUCGCCUUUGUGCGGGCGCGGAGCGGCAAUGUCGGCGAUCCUCGUGCUCCCUCGGACGACGGCGCGGCUUUGGCCCCUCGUCUCGUCCCGAUCGGCCCUCGGGGAUUCGUCNGCGCUCGCGGACACGGUAGACAAUGUUGGCUCGGGGCUUUCGUAGCCCCCGCACCACGAUCGGUCGGCUCACUUCGCCGCCCUCAUCGAGACGACCG